GAAAUACAAUAAGUAAUAUAAAUUGUAGAAUUCAGUGAAUCAUCGAAUCUUUAAACGCAUAUUGCGCCCGCUAGUACUCUGGUGGGCAUGCCUAUUCGAGCAUCAUUUCAACCAUCAAGCCCCGGGCUUGUGUUGGGGACCUACAGCCGCCGCAGGCCCCGAAAAUCAGUGGCGGGCUCGCUGUUACACCGAGCGUAGUAGUAAUCACCUCGCUUAGGGCGUACCGCGUACACCAGCCGUAAAAAAGCCAAUGUACCCCAAGGUUAACCUCGGAUCAGGUAGGAAUACCCGCUGAACUUAA
This 301-nucleotide unclassified non-coding RNA is filed under the name uncultured Ascomycota. RNAcentral describes it as "sequence contains ITS1". The stretch from base 1 to 105 matches the Rfam family "5.8S ribosomal RNA", at positions 50 to 154 of the family's 154-position model. The record is from RNAcentral. Lineage: Eukaryota; Fungi; Ascomycota.